ACUUUAAUAGUUUAAAACCCAAAACACCGGUCUUGUAAAUCGGAGCUGGAGCAUACUCCUUAAAGUA
RNAcentral lists this transfer RNA (67 nucleotides) under Alpheus bellulus. RNAcentral's name for it is "tRNA-Thr". It matches the Rfam family "tRNA". From Rfam's summary of the family: Transfer RNA (tRNA) molecules are approximately 80 nucleotides in length. Lineage: Eukaryota; Metazoa; Arthropoda; Malacostraca; Decapoda; Alpheidae. The record is from RNAcentral.